UUUAGGGAGACCUACCCACUUACAUCUUGAAAGCAAACAGCGAAUAGAGAUAAGUUGGUCAUCCCAAGGUCGUUCGAGGAAAGAGUGAAUGAAAGGCUUCCAAACUAUAUUGGUUCGGAGAUGGGCUAUUAGCUCAGGUGGUUAGAGCGCACCCCUGAUAAGGGUGAGGUCCCUGGUUCGAGUCCAGGAUGGCCCACCUAGGGGGUUUAGCUCAGUUGGUAGAGCGCCUGCUUUGCAAGCAGGAUGUCAGCGGUUCGAGUCCGCUAACCUCCACUGGGCUUUUAGAAAGCGAUGAGCCGAAGUGAAGGGAAAGAGCUUCAGCACCCAACCUAGUAUGGCUAGGUGGAAUGCUGGAGGAAUCCAGUCAGAACCUUGAAAACUGCAUAGAGAUUUGUCAGGUAGAGAAUUAGGUUAAAGUUUGAGGACGAAAGGAACUAGGGGAACCUAGAUUUUGGAUGUCUGAGGACUGAGGAUCUAAGAAUCACAGACACCAAUGAAAGCGACUGAGAAAUCAGUUGCAAGU
Molecule: transfer RNA, 523 nt
Filed under: Scytolyngbya sp. HA4215-MV1
Lineage: Bacteria; Bacillati; Cyanobacteriota; Cyanophyceae; Leptolyngbyales; Leptolyngbyaceae
Description: 16S-23S ribosomal RNA intergenic spacer
Rfam family: tRNA (bases 201-273)
Source: RNAcentral